GGUGAAAAGCACCCCGGAAGGGGAGUGAAAUAGAACCUGAAACCGUGUGCUUACAAGUAGUCAGAGCCCGUUAAUGGGUGAUGGCGUGCCUUUUGUAGAAUGAACCGGCGAGUUACGAUUUGAUGCAAGGUUAAGCAGUAAAUGUGGAGCCGUAGCGAAAGCGAGUCUGAAUAGGGCGUUUAGUAUUUGGUCGUAGACCCGAAACCAGGUGAUCUACCCUUGGUCAGGUUGAAGUUCAGGUAACACUGAAUGGAGGACCGAACCGACUUACGUUGAAAAGUGAGCGGAUGAACUGAGGGUAGCGGAGAAAUUCCAAUCGAACCUGGAGAUAGCUGGUUCUCUCCGAAAUAGCUUUAGGGCUAGCCUCAAGUGAUGAUUAUUGGAGGUAGAGCACUGUUUGGACGAGGGGCCCCUCUCGGGUUACCGAAUUCAGACAAACUCCGAAUGCCAAUUAAUUUAACUUGGGAGUCAGAACAUGGGUGAUAAGGUCCGUGUUCGAAAGGGAAACAGCCCAGACCACCAGCUAAGGUCCCAAAAUAUAUGUUAAGUGGAAAAGGAUGUGGCGUUGCCCAGACAACUAGGAUGUUGGCUUAGAAGCAGCCAUCAUUUAAAGAGUGCGUAAUAGCUCACUAGUCGAGUGACACUGCGCCGAAAAUGUACCGGGGCUAAACAUAUUACCGAAGCUGUGGAUUGUCCUUUGGACAAUGGUAGGAGAGCGUUCUAAGGGCGUUGAAGCAUGAUCGUAAGGACAUGUGGAGCGCUUAGAAGUGAGAAUGCCGGUGUGAGUAGCGAAAGACGGGUGAGAAUCCCGUCCACCGAUUGACUAAGGUUUCCAGAGGAAGGCUCGUCCGCUCUGGGUUAGUCGGGUCCUAAGCUGAGGCCGACAGGCGUAGGCGAUGGAUAACAGGUUGAUAUUCCUGUACCACCUAUAAUCGUUUUAAUCGAUGGGGGGACGCAGUAGGAUAGGCGAAGCGUGCGAUUGGAUUGCACGUCUAAGCAGUAAGGCUGAGUAUUAGGCAAAUCCGGUACUCAUUAAGGCUGAGCUGUGAUGGGGAGAAGACAUUGUGUCUUCGAGUCGUUGAUUUCACACUGCCGAGAAAAGCCUCUAGAUAGAAAAUAGGUGCCCGUACCGCAAACCGACACAGGUAGUCAAGAUGAGAAUUCUAAGGUGAGCGAGCGAACUCUCGUUAAGGAACUCGGCAAAAUGACCCCGUAACUUCGGGAGAAGGGGUGCUCUUUAGGGUUAACGCCCAGAAGAGCCGCAGUGAAUAGGCCCAAGCGACUGUUUAUCAAAAACACAGGUCUCUGCUAAACCGUAAGGUGAUGUAUAGGGGCUGACGCCUGCCCGGUGCUGGAAGGUUAAGAGGAGUGGUUAGCUUCUGCGAAGCUACGAAUCGAAGCCCCAGUAAACGGCGGCCGUAACUAUAACGGUCCUAAGGUAGCGAAAUUCCUUGUCGGGUAAGUUCCGACCCGCACGAAAGGCGUAACGAUUUGGGCACUGUCUCAACGAGAGACUCGGUGAAAUCAUAGUACCUGUGAAGAUGCAGGUUACCCGCGACAGGACGGAAAGACCCCGUGGAGCUUUACUGUAGCCUGAUAUUGAAAUUCGGCACAGCUUGUACA
This 1623-nucleotide ribosomal RNA is filed under the name Staphylococcus aureus. Its description in RNAcentral is "partial 23S ribosomal RNA". It matches the Rfam family "Bacterial large subunit ribosomal RNA", at positions 513 to 2140 of the family's 2925-position model. Lineage: Bacteria; Bacillati; Bacillota; Bacilli; Caryophanales; Staphylococcaceae. The record is from RNAcentral.